This 433-nucleotide ribosomal RNA is filed under the name uncultured bacterium. Its description in RNAcentral is "partial 16S ribosomal RNA". It matches the Rfam family "Bacterial small subunit ribosomal RNA", at positions 29 to 507 of the family's 1533-position model. The record is from RNAcentral.
AACGAACGCUGGCGGCAUGCCUAACACAUGCAAGUCGAACGAGACCUUCGGGUCUAGUGGCGCACGGGUGCGUAACGCGUGGGAACCUGCCCUUAGGUUCGGAAUAACUCCCCGAAAGGGGUACUAAUACCGGAUAAUGUCUUCGGACCAAAGAUUUAUCGCCUUUGGAUGGGCCCGCGUUGGAUUAGCUAGUUGGUAGGGUAAAAGCCUACCAAGGCGACGAUCCAUAGCUGGUCUGAGAGGAUGAUCAGCCACACUGGGACUGAGACACGGCCCAGACUCCUACGGGAGGCAGCAGUGGGGAAUAUUGGACAAUGGGCGAAAGCCUGAUCCAGCAAUGCCGCGUGAGUGAUGAAGGCCUUAGGGUUGUAAAGCUCUUUUACCCGGGAUGAUAAUGACAGCACCGGGAGAAUAAGCUCCGGCUAACUCCGUG